Molecule: ribosomal RNA, 253 nt
Filed under: uncultured bacterium
Lineage: Bacteria
Description: partial 16S ribosomal RNA
Rfam family: Bacterial small subunit ribosomal RNA
Source: RNAcentral
UACGUAGGUGGCAAGCGUUGUCCGGAUUUACUGGGCGUAAAGAGCGCGCAGGCGGUCGUUCAAGUCGCGUGUGAAAGCCCCCGGCUCAACUGGGGAGGGUCACGCGAUACUGAUCGACUCGAAGGCAGGAGAGGGUAGUGGAAUUCCCGGUGUAGUGGUGAAAUGCGUAGAUAUCAGGAGGAACACCGGUGGCGAAGGCGGAUCUCUGGGCCAUUACUGACGCUGAGGAGCGAAAGCGUGGGGAGCGAACAGG